RNAcentral lists this ribosomal RNA (371 nucleotides) under uncultured organism. RNAcentral describes it as "bacterial SSU rRNA". It matches the Rfam family "Bacterial small subunit ribosomal RNA", at positions 526 to 896 of the family's 1533-position model. The record is from RNAcentral.
CGGAGGGAGCUAGCGUUGUUCGGAUAUACUGGGCGUAAAGCGCACGUAGGCGGCGUCGUAAGUCAGGGGUGAAAUCCCGGAGCUCAACUCCGGAACUGCCCUUGAAACUGCAAUGCUAGAAUCUUGGAGAGGCGAGUGGAAUUCCGAGUGUAGAGGUGAAAUUCGUAGAUAUUCGGAAGAACACCAGUGGCGAAGGCGACUCGCUGGACAAGUAUUGACGCUGAGGUGCGGAAAGCGUGGGGAGCAAACAGGAUUAGAUACCCUGGUAGUCCACGCCGUAAACGAUGAUAACUAGCUGUCCGGGCUCAUGGAGCUUGGGUGGCGCAGCUAACGCAUUAAGUUAUCCGCCUGGGGGGUACGUCGCAAGAUUA